UCGAGCGGAAGGCCCUUCGGGGUACUCGAGCGGCGAACGGGUGAGUAACACGUGAGCAACCUGCCCCAGGCUUUGGGAUAACCCCGGGAAACCGGGGCUAAUACCGAAUAUGACUUGGCCUCGCAUGAGGUUGGGUGGAAAGUUUUUCGGCUUGGGAUGGGCUCGCGGCCUAUCAGCUUGUUGGUGGGGUAAUGGCCUACCAAGGCGACGACGGGUAGCCGGCCUGAGAGGGCGACCGGCCACACUGGGACUGAGACACGGCCCAGACUCCUACGGGAGGCAGCAGUGGGGAAUAUUGCACAAUGGGCGGAAGCCUGAUGCAGCGACGCCGCGUGAGGGAUGACGGCCUUCGGGUUGUAAACCUCUUUCAGCAGGGACGAAGCGUAAGUGACGGUACCUGCAGAAGAAGCACCGGCCAACUACGUGCCAGCAGCCGCGGUAAGACGUAGGGUGCGAGCGUUGUCCGGAUUUAUUGGGCGUAAAGAGCUCGUAGGCGGCUUGUCGCGUCGACUGUGAAAACCCGCAGCUCAACUGCGGGCCUGCAGUCGAUACGGGCAGGCUAGAGUUCGGUAGGGGAGACUGGAAUUCCUGGUGUAGCGGUGAAAUGCGCAGAUAUCAGGAGGAACACCGGUGGCGAAGGCGGGUCUCUGGGCCGAUACUGACGCUGAGGAGCGAAAGCGUGGGGAGCGAACAGGAU
RNAcentral lists this ribosomal RNA (697 nucleotides) under Micromonospora sp. ME-16. RNAcentral's name for it is "bacterial SSU rRNA". It matches the Rfam family "Bacterial small subunit ribosomal RNA", at positions 62 to 778 of the family's 1533-position model. The record is from RNAcentral. Lineage: Bacteria; Bacillati; Actinomycetota; Actinomycetes; Micromonosporales; Micromonosporaceae.